Molecule: ribosomal RNA, 494 nt
Filed under: uncultured bacterium
Lineage: Bacteria
Description: partial 16S ribosomal RNA
Rfam family: Bacterial small subunit ribosomal RNA
Source: RNAcentral
GACGAACGCUGGCGGCGUGCUUAACACAUGCAAGUCGAACGGUGAAGCGCCUCCCUUUUUGGUGGGUGUGGAUGAGUGGCGAACGGGUGAGUAACACGUGAGUAACCUGCCCCCUUCUUCUGGAUAACCGCAUGAAAGUGUGGCUAAUACGGGAUAUUCUGGGUCUGUCGCAUGAUGGGUCUGGGAAAGAUAUUGUUUCGGUGGGGGAUGGGCUCGCGGCCUAUCAGCUUGUUGGUGGGGUGAUGGCCUACCAAGGCGGUGACGGGUAGCCGGCCUGAGAGGGUGGACAGUCACACUGGGACUGAGACACGGAACAGACUCCUACGGGAGGCAGCGGUGGGGAAUAUUGCACAACGGGCGCAAGCAUGAUGCAGCGACGCCGCGGGAGGGAUGGAGGCCUUUGGGUUGUGAACCUCUUUAGCAAGUGAAGCAGGCCUGCCUCGUUUGUGGGUGGGUUGACGGUAGCUGGAUAAGAAGCGCCGGCUAACUACGUG